GCCCGGGUGCUGAAACCGGAAUACAGGAGGGACUCAAAAUCCCUUGUCCGCAAGGACGUGUGGGUUCGACCCCCACCCCGGGCA
This 84-nucleotide transfer RNA is filed under the name Candidatus Jorgensenbacteria bacterium CG10_big_fil_rev_8_21_14_0_10_54_38. RNAcentral's name for it is "tRNA-Leu". It matches the Rfam family "tRNA". From Rfam's summary of the family: Transfer RNA (tRNA) molecules are approximately 80 nucleotides in length. Their secondary structure includes four short double-helical elements and three loops (D, anti-codon, and T loops). Further hydrogen bonds mediate the characteristic L-shaped molecular structure. tRNAs have two regions of fundamental functional importance: the anti-codon, which is responsible for specific mRNA codon recognition, and the 3' end, to which the tRNAs corresponding amino acid is attached (by aminoacyl-tRNA synthetases). tRNAs cope with the degeneracy of the genetic code in two manners: having more than one tRNA (with a specific anti-codon) for a particular amino acid; and 'wobble' base-pairing, i.e. permitting non-standard base-pairing at the 3rd anti-codon position. The record is from RNAcentral. Lineage: Bacteria; Candidatus Joergenseniibacteriota.